This is a long non-coding RNA of Canis lupus familiaris (dog), 1039 nucleotides long. RefSeq lists it as uncharacterized. The transcript has 4 exons. The record is from RefSeq and is a predicted model, not a curated record. NCBI's taxonomy places the organism in Eukaryota, Metazoa, Chordata, Mammalia, Carnivora, Canidae.
UCUGUCGAGCAGUCGGGAAUGUCCGGUACGAGCCACCUGAAGGCAUUAAAGAGCCUCUGCUGCUGAGACCGUCGUCUUCCACACUGAAUCAGAAUUUCUAGGGGUGGGCCCUCGUGCACCUGGGUAUUUCUAAAAGCUCCUCUUUUACCCAAGGUCCAUCGCGGUCCAGAAGCAGAUGGUCCUCCUUCUGACAUAUCCUAAGAAGAUCAAUAGUAGCCUAAGGCUAUAUCACAAAGCGAGUAUCAUUCACCUCAUUUCAUCUCAUCAUAUAGGCAUCUUAUCAUCUCACAUCAUCACAAGUGAUGAUGGAAGCCUGCUAUGGUCUGUUUAGACUCUUCAUCCUCUGCACUGUGGCAUAAAAGAUGCCUUUUUUUCAGGGAUCACAGGAAUGUCAUCCUAAUCUGUCAGUCUGGAAUAUUCUGGUCAGCAGGAAUGAAGCAAUGCUUCUAACAGGUUCUGUUGUCCCCCAAAUGAAGGUUAUCUUGCUAGAAGGUUUUUGGGUUUUUUUUCACUUAUGACUUCCUUGUCCCACAUCCUCUCUGCCUUUCAAAACCUUUCCUUCUGUAGCCCUCUGAAGCUCCAUUCUGUUGCUGGUUGGGAUGGUGCCCAAUUCAUGAAUCAUUCAGUAAAACCAACUCUUUUUUAAAAUUCCUCCACUACAUUUUUUUUUUUUACAAUUUCAUUUGUAUUUUGUGAGUGAACUGUCUAUAAUUGUAUGUGAAUGCUUUCCUCUUGAGGUAUAGACUUUGGAUUUUGAGACAUCAUUAGAAAUACAUCUCUGUUCCCAGAUUAGAAAUGAGUUCAUCAUGUUUUUGGUUUCUUCUUCCUCCUCUCCCCGCCCUUCUCAUCCCUUCCGUCCUCAGGGUUCUCCCUUUCUGCUACUUCUGUUUCUUCUGCCUCUUUAAUACAUAACUCUCUGAUCUAUUUGGAGUUUAACCUGAUAUGUGGUAGAAGUUAUGGAUUUAAAUUUAACAUUUUUCCAACAAAAUUAUCCAGUAACAUUUGUUUAAAACAAAUGUCUUGGGGUGCUUGGGUGGCU